Molecule: long non-coding RNA, 1271 nt
Organism: Loxodonta africana (African savanna elephant)
Lineage: Eukaryota; Metazoa; Chordata; Mammalia; Proboscidea; Elephantidae
Exons: 2
Source: RefSeq, a predicted model, not a curated record
GGUGCCAGCUCCCGGGGAAGGCUUUCUCUCUCUAUCAGUUCUCAGAGAAGGUCCUGGUCAUCAAUCUUCCCUGGUCCAGGAGAUUCUCAGCUCCCAGCGCCUCUUUCUUCGUGGUAUGAGGUCCCUUCCUCUCUGCUUGAUUCUCUCUUUAAUAUCUCAAAAGAAAUUAACUCAAGAUGCAACCUAAUCCUGUAGACUGAGUCUUGCCUCAUUAACACAACUGCCUCUAAUCUUAUGUCAUUACUAUCAUAGAGAUUGGAAUUUACAGCACACAGGAUCAUCACAUCAGAUCACAAAAUGGUGGACAAUCACACAAUACUGGGAAUCAAGGCCUAGCCAAAUUGACACAUAUUUUGGGGAGACAUAAUUCAAUCCAUGACAACUAGUUUAAAUUAUUUCAAAAAUAUUCUUCACGAAAAUGCAAAGCAAAAAAAUUUAGGAUGCAAAUGUAUAAGACAGAAUGAUUCCAAUUUGGUUUAAAAAAAUGAUAUAUUUAUACACACAUAUAGAGAAAAUUUAGAAAAGAAACAUAACUAAGUGUGCCCGAGGUUAUCUCAGAAUGAUGGAUUUUCUUGAAAUUUUUAUGUUUUCUUUAUCUUUUCAUUUUCCAGAUUACUUACAGAGUUGUGUAUCACUUUUAUUAUCAUUAAAAAGCUACUCUCUGUACACCAGUGUUCAUUGCAGCACUUUUCACAAGAGCCAAAAUGUGGAAACAACAGAAAUGCCUAUCAACGAAUGGAUAAAAAAAUGUGGUACACACAUACAAUGGAAUAUUACGCAGCCACAAAGAGAGAAAGGAAGUUCUGAUGCAUGCCACAACAUGGAUGGACCUUGCAAACAUUAGGCUGAGUGAAUUAAGUCAGUUGCAAAAGGAUAAAUACUGUACAAUUUCACUUACAUGAAAAUGGAAAGAAACCUCCUAGUGGCUUCAGUGAUCAAGAUCUUAAGAAACGCAUACAGUUUUCACAGCCAUCUAUCCCGUGUGUGGACAUAAAAUACCUGAUGGCUUUGGCUGAGGGUUCUGGGGCACAGAUGCUGUUGCCAAGUAUGAUUUCACACCUUGGAGAAGACAGAUGCUCAUCUGAGAGGUUUAACAUAGAUAAUCCACUGGUGGCCAUGUUUCUUUGGAUAAUUUUAACCUCGGCCUUUAAAAAAGAAGUCACAUGGUCACCAUGUUUGGGUAUAAUUGACCAGCUGAUUUUCUUGAUGCAAAAAUCCUGGCGGAAAAAAAGGAAAAAGCAAGGAAACUUUUUUUUUUUUUUUUACAGAAA